AGCGAACGCUGGCGGCAGGCCGAACACAUGCAAGUCGAACGAACUCUUCGGAGUUAGUGGCGGACGGGUGAGUAACACGUGGGAACGUGCCUUUAGGUUCGGAAUAACUCAUGGAAACUUGUGCUAAUACCGAAUGUGCCCUUCGGGGGAAAGAUUUAUCGCCUUUAGAGCGGCCCGCGUCUGAUUAGCUAGUUGGUGAGGUAAAGGCUCACCAAGGCGACGAUCAGUAGCUGGUCUGAGAGGAUGAUCAGCCACAUUGGGACUGAGACACGGCCCAAACUCCUACGGGAGGCAGCAGUGGGGAAUCUUGCGCAAUGGGCGAAAGCCUGACGCAGCCAUGCCGCGUGAAUGAUGAAGGUCUUAGGAUUGUAAAAUUCUUUCACCGGGGACGAUAAUGACGGUACCCGGAGAAGAAGCCCCGGCUAACUUCGUGCCAGCCGCCGCCGUAA
This 449-nucleotide ribosomal RNA is filed under the name uncultured bacterium. Its description in RNAcentral is "partial 16S ribosomal RNA". It matches the Rfam family "Bacterial small subunit ribosomal RNA", at positions 29 to 523 of the family's 1533-position model. The record is from RNAcentral.